Molecule: long non-coding RNA, 478 nt
Filed under: Hordeum vulgare
Lineage: Eukaryota; Viridiplantae; Streptophyta; Magnoliopsida; Poales; Poaceae
Description: long non-coding RNA (HVUL_LNC010627)
Source: RNAcentral
CUCCCUCCGAUUUAAAUUAAUUUACCCAAAUUUAGUACUCGAGUAACGUGCUUCAAAUCCCCCGCCACCCCUCCCGCCUCCAUGAAGCUUCCUACACAUGAAUAAUUUGUUAUAGAUGAUUUUUUUUGUUCGCGCUCCAUACGUAAAAAAAAACAGUUUUGAAUUAUUUUGAUGAUUCGGCUAGAAUUGCUCCAAGAUCAUACGGUCAUCAUCAUGUGGACGGUCUAAGAUGAGGCCACGCACCUUCCACCACCACGACCCACACGAUCUGAAACCGCCAAAAAUAAAAAACGCCUUUUUCGCUCUCGAGCUCUUCUUCUCUACUGCUCUCCCCCUUUUCCCCAUUCCCCGCCGCUACCCUCGUUCGCGCGAGCAAACGCCGGCUCAACAGGCCUCUCCGAUCAGGUACGUGCCCUCCUGGAAAUCCCGCUCCUCUCGCCGAAUUUUUCCCUGCUUCUCCCGAUUGGGCCCUGAAUUC